GACGAACGCUGGCGGCGUGCUUAACACAUGCAAGUCGAACGGUAAGGCCCUUUCGGGGGUACACGAGUGGCGAACGGGUGAGUAACACGUGGGUAAUCUGCCCUGCACUUCGGGAUAAGCCUGGGAAACUGGGUCUAAUACCGGAUAUGAGUCCCGGCCGCAUGGUCUGGGGUUGGAAAGUUUUUCGGUGCAGGAUGCGCCCGCGGCCUAUCAGCUUGUUGGUGGGGUAAUGGCCUACCAAGGCGACGACGGGUAGCCGGCCUGAGAGUGGGAUCGGCCACACUGGGACUGAGACACGGCCCAGACUCCUACGGGAGGCAGCAGUGGGGGAUAUUGCACAAUGGGCGGAAGCCUGAUGCAGCGACGCCGCGUGGGGGAUGACGGUCUUCGGAUUGUAAACCCCUUUCAGUAGGGACGAAGCGCAAGUGACGGUACCUGCAGAAGAAGCACCGGCCAACUACGUGCCAGCCGCCGCGGUAA
RNAcentral lists this ribosomal RNA (480 nucleotides) under uncultured bacterium. RNAcentral describes it as "partial 16S ribosomal RNA". It matches the Rfam family "Bacterial small subunit ribosomal RNA", at positions 28 to 523 of the family's 1533-position model. The record is from RNAcentral.